GUAGUCAUGGCCGAGUGGUUAAGGCGAUGGACUUGAAAUCCAUUGGGGUCUCCCCGCGCAGGUUCGAAUCCUGCUGGCUACG
Molecule: transfer RNA, 82 nt
Filed under: Pangasianodon hypophthalmus (striped catfish)
Lineage: Eukaryota; Metazoa; Chordata; Actinopteri; Siluriformes; Pangasiidae
Rfam family: tRNA
About the family: Transfer RNA (tRNA) molecules are approximately 80 nucleotides in length. Their secondary structure includes four short double-helical elements and three loops (D, anti-codon, and T loops).
Source: Rfam by way of RNAcentral